GCCUCGUUAGCUGUCAGUGGUAGAGCGUUACGACUUUAAUACUACGUCAGGGGUUCGAGUCCCCUACGGGGCU
Non-coding RNA from Cooperia oncophora, 73 nucleotides. Lineage: Eukaryota; Metazoa; Nematoda; Chromadorea; Rhabditida; Trichostrongylidae. The record is from the annotation of a GenBank genome assembly.